CAGAGUUCGGUAAAUGCAAAAGGCUUAAGCCCUUUACCCAGAGGUUCAAAUCCUCUCCCUAGCC
Molecule: transfer RNA, 64 nt
Filed under: Nyctanassa violacea (yellow-crowned night heron)
Lineage: Eukaryota; Metazoa; Chordata; Aves; Pelecaniformes; Ardeidae
Description: partial tRNA-Leu
Rfam family: tRNA
About the family: Transfer RNA (tRNA) molecules are approximately 80 nucleotides in length. Their secondary structure includes four short double-helical elements and three loops (D, anti-codon, and T loops).
Source: RNAcentral